This 73-nucleotide small RNA is filed under the name Elstera litoralis. RNAcentral describes it as "Makes More Granules Regulator RNA (mmgR)". It matches the Rfam family "Makes More Granules Regulator RNA (mmgR)". From Rfam's summary of the family: SuhB later renamed mmgR (makes more granules regulator) was a putative non-coding RNA found multiple times in the Agrobacterium tumefaciens genome and related alpha-proteobacteria. Other non-coding RNAs uncovered in the same analysis include: speF, ybhL, metA, and serC. The record is from Rfam by way of RNAcentral. Lineage: Bacteria; Pseudomonadati; Pseudomonadota; Alphaproteobacteria; Rhodospirillales; Rhodospirillaceae.
GCAUGACGCUCUUGAGCGUUUCCUCCCUAAACUCGGCAGCCGCGCUUUUAGCGCGGCUCUUUUUUUGUGUGCG